RNAcentral lists this long non-coding RNA (531 nucleotides) under Anser brachyrhynchus (Pink-footed goose). RNAcentral describes it as "lncRNA (ENSABRG00000020239.1)". Lineage: Eukaryota; Metazoa; Chordata; Aves; Anseriformes; Anatidae. The record is from RNAcentral.
GAAAGACUGCCACCUUUAUCCUAUUAUGUUCGUGCAGUCUGUACUUUGAGAAGAUUCUCACCUUCUUUUGGGUCAAUAAGUGUUGACAGUGUCAAAAUCGUUACAAAAGUGAGCCCUUAAUGAGCUUCAAGUUGAUUUUUUUUUUCAGGACCUAGAUGACAUUUGCAGAGCCUACAGCAUAGUGAAGACAGAAUGAUUUCUGGCCGUCUCUCUGAGGUGAAAUAGCUUUGCAACUCAAAAUACUCCUUUGUAUGCUCAAAUGAGAUGGCAGUCCUUGAGAUACUGGUAAACUGCUUGGUCAGAAGAGCUGACUUGCCUCCAAAGUUUAUUGUGACCCCAGGUUCCUCGAAGAGGUCAGUAAGGGCUUUUCCAUCUUUGCAGUGCACAGUAAGAAGCAGCUUCCAUCUACACAGAUACUGCUCUGUGCUUCCCAGACUUACAAUGUGCGGGAACUGGUCCACAGCUUCUCGCAGCAUCUCAUUGCACCACGGAGACAGAAAACUCUUAAUGGUCCUUUUCAAGGUACAAUAA